This 495-nucleotide long non-coding RNA is filed under the name Fukomys damarensis (Damara mole-rat). RNAcentral describes it as "lncRNA (ENSFDAG00000029548.1)". Lineage: Eukaryota; Metazoa; Chordata; Mammalia; Rodentia; Bathyergidae. The record is from RNAcentral.
CCUGCACUGUGACAGAAUGACUAAAGCAGCAGUGGCCGUCUUAUGGUCCUAAAGGAAAGGAACAUUUCACAUCUACGUCUGCUGUCCCUUGGAUCUGUUCACCCCAGAAGUCGUAAAAGUCAGACUAGAUUCUGUUAUCUGCGGAGGCUGGCCGGACCUGCCAUUCUGCACCUUUGCACCCAGACAUAAAAGGCAGGAGUCAAGGAUCACACACACUGGAGGGUAAGUGACCCCAAACAACCCCAGACUGAUGAAAGCUGUACGUGCAGACGCCAGGAGGGUGGUCAGAGCGCCUCAGAGUGCACAGCCUCUCAGCAGCGGAAGGCUGAAGGGAGGAAGGAGGAGCGGAGAAGAGAGUCAGCUUCAAAGCUGAGGAAAACUGGGACAGAGAUCUCAGAAGGAAGUUUUGGGAGCAUUUAUUGUUAAAAAUUUCCUUAUAAAAUCAAAUUUUAACUCUGCUUUUUGAAUGAAAUCAUUGAUACUGUUUUAACGAAG